GGCUUGAUAGCUCAGUUCAGUGGUAGAGCACUGCACCGGUAUCGCAGAGGUCAUGGGUUCGAAUCCCGUUCAAGCCU
Desmophyllum pertusum is the source of this 77-nucleotide non-coding RNA. NCBI's taxonomy places the organism in Eukaryota, Metazoa, Cnidaria, Anthozoa, Scleractinia, Caryophylliidae. The record is from the annotation of a GenBank genome assembly.